GUAGUCUCGCACAGACGCAUAUCAAUAAGCGGAGGAAAAGAAACUAACAAGGAUUCCCCUAGUAACGGCGAGUGAAGCGGGAAGAGCUCAAAUUUGAAAUCUUAAAGGGUUUCCCUUUACGAAUUGUAGUUUAAAGAAGUGUUUUCUGUUGAGGUUUUGGUAAAAUGUUCUUUGGAAUAGGACAUCAUAGAGGGUGAGAAUCCCGUAUUUGACCUUUACUUUCAACUUUGUGAUACACUUUCAAAGAGUCGGAUUGUUUGGGAAUGCAGUCCAAAAUGGGUGGUAAAUUUCAUCUAAAGCUAAAUAUUGGCGAGAGACCGAUAGCGAACAAGUACCGUGAGGGAAUGAUGAAAAGAACUUUGAAAAGAGAGUUAAACAGUACGUGAAAUUGUCAAAAGGGAAGCGUUUGACACCAGUGUUGUUUUUCUGAAAAUCAAUUAAAGAACUGUCUAUGCUAAGUUGUUUAGACUUUAUCAGCUAACUGUUUAGUUUUGAGCUUUUCUUUAAUACACUUUUCAGUUAACAAGUCAACAUCAAUUUCUUUUGCUGUAAAAAAGCUUGAGGAAGGUGGCUUGAGAUUCGUCUUAAGUGUUUAUAGCCUCUUGCCUAUGCAGUCGGAGAGAUUGAGGUCUGCAGCGUAGAUCCUUCGGGGCUAAAUGCAUUUGUGCUAAGUUAUAACAUUUUAUAGACAACUUGUUGACUAUGAUUUGUCUUGUAGCUUACUCGCUUAUGUUAUUUUACCUACGCUUAGGAUGUUGAUCUGUAGUGCGUGCGC
RNAcentral lists this ribosomal RNA (775 nucleotides) under uncultured Neocallimastigales. Its description in RNAcentral is "partial large subunit ribosomal RNA". It matches the Rfam family "Eukaryotic large subunit ribosomal RNA", at positions 24 to 646 of the family's 3401-position model. The record is from RNAcentral. Lineage: Eukaryota; Fungi; Neocallimastigomycota; Neocallimastigomycetes; Neocallimastigales.